RNAcentral lists this ribosomal RNA (120 nucleotides) under Escherichia sp. E1130. RNAcentral's name for it is "partial 23S ribosomal RNA". It matches the Rfam family "Bacterial large subunit ribosomal RNA", at positions 2819 to 2925 of the family's 2925-position model. The record is from RNAcentral. Lineage: Bacteria; Pseudomonadati; Pseudomonadota; Gammaproteobacteria; Enterobacterales; Enterobacteriaceae.
UUGAGAGUCCUGAAGGAACGUUGAAGACGACGACGUUGAUAGGCCGGGUGUGUAAGCGNAGCGAUGCGUUGAGCUAACCGGUACUAAUGAACCGUGAGGCUUAACCUUACAACGCCGAAG